Molecule: transfer RNA, 85 nt
Filed under: Enhydrobacter sp.
Lineage: Bacteria; Pseudomonadati; Pseudomonadota; Alphaproteobacteria; Hyphomicrobiales
Also listed under: 2 other names
Description: tRNA-Leu
Rfam family: tRNA
About the family: Transfer RNA (tRNA) molecules are approximately 80 nucleotides in length. Their secondary structure includes four short double-helical elements and three loops (D, anti-codon, and T loops).
Source: RNAcentral
GCGGCCAUGGCGGAAUUGGUAGACGCGCUAGCUUGAGGUGCUAGUGCCGAAAGGCGUGGAAGUUCGAGUCUUCUUGGCCGCACCA